RNAcentral lists this ribosomal RNA (301 nucleotides) under uncultured bacterium. Its description in RNAcentral is "partial 16S ribosomal RNA". It matches the Rfam family "Bacterial small subunit ribosomal RNA", at positions 509 to 807 of the family's 1533-position model. The record is from RNAcentral.
CAGUAGCCGCGGUAAUACGUAGGUGGCAAGCGUUGUCCGGAAUUAUUGGGCGUAAAGGGCUCGCAGGCGGUUUCUUAAGUCUGAUGUGAAAGCCCCCGGCUCAACCGGGGAGGGUCAUUGGAAACUGGGAAACUUGAGUGCAGAAGAGGAGAGUGGAAUUCCACGUGUAGCGGUGAAAUGCGUAGAGAUGUGGAGGAACACCCGUGGCGAAAGCGGCUCACUGGACCAUAACUGACGCUGAGGCACGAAAGCCGGGGGAGCAAACAGGAUUAGAUACCCCGGUAGUCCCUGUCUCUUAUAC